This 301-nucleotide ribosomal RNA is filed under the name uncultured bacterium. Its description in RNAcentral is "partial 16S ribosomal RNA". It matches the Rfam family "Bacterial small subunit ribosomal RNA", at positions 509 to 807 of the family's 1533-position model. The record is from RNAcentral.
CAGUCGCCGCGGUAAUACGGAGGGUGCAAGCGUUAAUCGGAACUACUGGGCGUAAAGCGUGCGUAGGCGGUUCGUUAAGUCUGUUGUGAAAGCCCCGGGCUCAACCUGGGAAUGGCAAUGGAUACUGGCGAGCUAGAGUGUGUCAGAGGAUGGUGGAAUUCCAGGUGUAGCGGUGAAGUGCGUAGAGAUCUGGAGGAACAUCAGUGGCGAAGGCGGCCAUCUGGGACAACACUGACGCUGAUGCACGAAAGCUAGGGGAGCAAACAGGAUUAGAUACCCCCGUAGUCCCUGUCUCUUAUAC